GUUUAAACAUGGAGAGCCAAUAUUUCAUGGCUAAGAGUAUAAGACUAUUUAUGUGAUGGGAGCUUAAUUUCGUUUGUUCCAUUUACACAUAGCUGACCUUUGACACCAACAGGACUAGAUAGGGCUGAAAAGGGUUAUAAAAGAAGACAAAGUUCAACAGAUCUAUUCCCAAGCAAUACCUUUUUUAAAAUACAUUUACCCGCAAAUACUUUAAUGGAUACUAAAUAAAAUGCUGCACCAAAUAAUCAAUUUACAGAAAAAGUAUAUAACAUAUUGUGAAACAUUUUCUAACGCUUUGAAUGAGACUUACAAU
Molecule: long non-coding RNA, 313 nt
Filed under: Mytilus galloprovincialis (Mediterranean mussel)
Lineage: Eukaryota; Metazoa; Mollusca; Bivalvia; Mytilida; Mytilidae
Source: RNAcentral